AGAAUUGCUGUGUGGUUUCAUUCCAAAUGCAAAGAUCCUGACUCAAGUUUUUACAGUUUUAGGGGAAACUACUGAUAGACGUGUUAGGUUGAAGAUGCAAGGUGUAUCACUUCACCUCCUUGGGACUGGAUGCAAAAGCUGGACCGGGGUUGCCUGACCAAACCACUCCACUCCACCCGGGGUCCCCGCGAGAGGGAUGUGCCGCCCUGUCCGGCUGGAGCCGCUCGAGGCGCGGGAUGUCGGCGGAGCAGAGCUGGGGGCAGCUCGGAGAGCCCUCUCCAAAGCCCAGACACAAAAACGGCCCCUCGGGCAGGAGCCCGGAGAAGCCGAGCGGCAGGAAAUCCUCAGGAGUGCCCCAUGAGCCUACUGUGUGGCUAUAUGAUACCACCUUUGGGAUUUGGAUAUUUGGAAACAGCAAUGGCUGGAGGCCCUGAAUUGCUGAAUUAG
RNAcentral lists this long non-coding RNA (447 nucleotides) under Lonchura striata (white-rumped munia). RNAcentral's name for it is "domestica (Bengalese finch) lncRNA (ENSLSDG00000006077.1)". The record is from RNAcentral. Lineage: Eukaryota; Metazoa; Chordata; Aves; Passeriformes; Estrildidae.